UUAAGCGACUAAGCGUACACGGUGGAUGCCCUGGCAGUCAGAGGCGAUGAAGGACGUGCUAAUCUGCGAAAAGCGUCGGUAAGGUGAUAUGAACCGUUACAGCCGGCGAUGUCCGAAUGGGGAAACCCAGUGCAAUUCGUUGCACUAUCGUUAACUGAAUACAUAGGUUAACGAGGCGAACCGGGGGAACUGAAACAUCUAAGUACCCCGAGGAAAAGAAAUCAACCGAGAUUCCCCCAGUAGCGGCGAGCGAACGGGGAGCAGCCCAGAGUCUGAAUCAGCUUGUGUGUUAGUGGAACGGUCUGGAAAGUCCGACGGUACAGGGUGAUAGUCCCGUACACCAAAAUGCACAGGCUGUGAACUCGAAGAGUAGGGCGGGACACGUGGUAUCCUGUCUGAAUAUGGGGGGACCAUCCUCCAAGGCUAAAUACUCCUGACUGACCGAUAGUGAACCAGUACCGUGAGGGAAAGGCGAAAAGAACCCCGGCGAGGGGAGUGAAAAAGAACCUGAAACCGUGUACGUACAAGCAGUGGGAGCACCUUCGGGUGUGACUGCGUACCUUUUGUAUAAUGGGUCAGCGACUUAUAUUCUGUAGCAAGGUUAACCGUAUAGGGGAGCCGCAGGGAAACCGAGUCUUAACUGGGCGUUAAGUUGCAGGGUAUAGACCCGAAACCCGGUGAUCUAGCCAUGGGCAGGUUGAAGGUUGGGUAACACUAACUGGAGGACCGAACCGACUAAUGUUGAAAAAUUAGCGGAUGACUUGUGGCUGGGGGUGAAAGGCCAAUCAAACCGGGAGAUAGCUGGUUCUCCCCGAAAGCUAUUUAGGUAGCGCCUCGUGAAUUCAUCUUCGGGGGUAGAGCACUGUUUCGGCUAGGGGGUCAUCCCGACUUACCAACCCGAUGCAAACUACGAAUACCGAAGAAUGUUAUCACGGGAGACACACGGCGGGUGCUAACGUCCGUCGUGAAGAGGGAAACAACCCAGACCGCCAGCUAAGGUCCCAAAGUCAUGGUUAAGUGGGAAACGAUGUGGGAAGGCACAGACAGCCAGGAUGUUGGCUUAGAAGCAGCCAUCAUUUAAAGAAAGCGUAAUAGCUCACUGGUCGAGUCGGCCUGCGCGGAAGAUGUAACGGGGCUAAACCAUGCACCGAAGCUGCGGCAGCGACACUAUGUGUUGUUGGGUAGGGGAGCGUUCUGUAAGCCUGCGAAGGUGUGCUGUGAGGCAUGCUGGAGGUAUCAGAAGUGCGAAUGCUGACAUAAGUAACGAUAAAGCGGGUGAAAAGCCCGCUCGCCGGAAGACCAAGGGUUCCUGUCCAACGUUAAUCGGGGCAGGGUGAGUCGACCCCUAAGGCGAGGCCGAAAGGCGUAGUCGAUGGGAAACAGGUUAAUAUUCCUGUACUUGGUGUUACUGCGAAGGGGGGACGGAGAAGGCUAUGUUAGCCGGGCGACGGUUGUCCCGGUUUAAGCAUGUAGGCUGGUUAUCCAGGCAAAUCCGGAUAAUCAAGGCUGAGGUGUGAUGACGAGGCACUACGGUGCUGAAGUAACAAAUGCCCUGCUUCCAGGAAAAGCCUCUAAGCAUCAGGUAACAUCAAAUCGUACCCCAAACCGACACAGGUGGUCAGGUAGAGAAUACCAAGGCGCUUGAGAGAACUCGGGUGAAGGAACUAGGCAAAAUGGUGCCGUAACUUCGGGAGAAGGCACGCUGGUGUGUAGGUGAAGCCCCUGCGGGUGGAGCUGAGACCAGUCGAAGAUACCAGCUGGCUGCAACUGUUUAUUAAAAACACAGCACUGUGCAAACACGAAAGUGGACGUAUACGGUGUGACGCCUGCCCGGUGCCGGAAGGUUAAUUGAUGGGGUUAUCCGUAAGGAGAAGCUCUUGAUCGAAGCCCCGGUAAACGGCGGCCGUAACUAUAACGGUCCUAAGGUAGCGAAAUUCCUUGUCGGGUAAGUUCCGACCUGCACGAAUGGCGUAAUGAUGGCCAGGCUGUCUCCACCCGAGACUCAGUGAAAUUGAACUCGCUGUGAAGAUGCAGUGUACCCGCGGCAAGACGGAAAGACCCCGUGAACCUUUACUAUAGCUUGACACUGAACAUUGAGCCUUGAUGUGUAGGAUAGGUGGGAGGCUUUGAAGCGUGGACGCCAGUCUGCGUGGAGCCAACCUUGAAAUACCACCCUUUAAUGUUUGAUGUUCUAACGUUGGCCCCUGACCGGGGUUGCGGACAGUGUCUGGUGGGUAGUUUGACUGGGGCGGUCUCCUCCCAAAGCGUAACGGAGGAGCACGAAGGUUAGCUAAUCCUGGUCGGACAUCAGGAGGUUAGUGCAAUGGCAUAAGCUAGCUUGACUGCGAGCGUGACGGCGCGAGCAGGUGCGAAAGCAGGUCAUAGUGAUCCGGUGGUUCUGAAUGGAAGGGCCAUCGCUCAACGGAUAAAAGGUACUCCGGGGAUAACAGGCUGAUACCGCCCAAGAGUUCAUAUCGACGGCGGUGUUUGGCACCUCGAUGUCGGCUCAUCACAUCCUGGGGCUGAAGUAGGUCCCAAGGGUAUGGCUGUUCGCCAUUUAAAGUGGUACGCGAGCUGGGUUUAGAACGUCGUGAGACAGUUCGGUCCCUAUCUGCCGUGGGCGCUGGAGAAUUGAGGGGGGCUGCUCCUAGUACGAGAGGACCGGAGUGGACGCAUCACUGGUGUUCGGGUUGUCAUGCCAAUGGCACUGCCCGGUAGCUAAAUGCGGAAGAGAUAAGUGCUGAAAGCAUCUAAGCACGAAACUUGCCCCGAGAUGAGUUCUCCCUGAGACUUUAAGUCUCCUGAAGGAACGUUGAAGACGACGACGUUGAUAGGCCGGGUGUGUAAGCGCAGCGAUGCGUUGAGCUAACCGGUACUAAUGAACCGUGAGGCUUAACCU
This 2899-nucleotide ribosomal RNA is filed under the name Klebsiella pneumoniae. RNAcentral describes it as "bacterial LSU rRNA". It matches the Rfam family "Bacterial large subunit ribosomal RNA". Lineage: Bacteria; Pseudomonadati; Pseudomonadota; Gammaproteobacteria; Enterobacterales; Enterobacteriaceae. The record is from RNAcentral.